RNAcentral lists this ribosomal RNA (276 nucleotides) under uncultured bacterium. RNAcentral describes it as "partial 16S ribosomal RNA". It matches the Rfam family "Bacterial small subunit ribosomal RNA", at positions 28 to 334 of the family's 1533-position model. The record is from RNAcentral.
GGCGAACGCUGGCGGCAGGCUUAACACAUGCAAGUCGAACGGUCCUUCGGGAUAGUGGCGGACGGGUGAGUAACACGUGGGAACGUACCCUUAGGUUCGGAACAACACAGGGAAACUUGUGCUAAUACCGGAUGAGCCCUUCGGGGGAAAGAUUUAUCGCCUUUGGAGCGGCCCGCGUCUGAUUAGCUUGUUGGUGAGGUAAUGGCUCACCAAGGCUACGAUCAGUAGCUGGUCUGAGAGGAUGGCCAGCCACACUGGGACUGAGACACGGCCCAG